AGUUUGCAUAGAAUUAAGAAUUCAUUAUGCUGAACCAUUUAUACUCAUACUCAAUCUCUCUGUCAUCCUAGACACCAAGAAUAUGGAUUUACAAGAUGGUUGCUUCGGAGUUGGGAGUGGGAAUAAAGAAGCUAACAAUAUUAUUGCCAAAAAAAGAAACAAAGAAAAUACAGUCAUUAAAUCAUUUAAAAGAAAAUUCCUAGAAGAGAACAAAAGGAAAUUCAGAUGGAAACAGACAAUCAGGGCAGCUUUAAAAGUAAUAGAGAAUUUAUUUUGUAAUUUUUUAAAAGGCAUUGUUGUAUGUUUGGACAUGUAUACUUAUAUUGUAUUUAAUUUAUACUUUAACAUAUUUAACACGUAUUGUUCAACCUGUCAUCUGGGGGAGAGGAUGGGAGGAAGGAGGGGAAAGAUUGGAACAAAAGGUUUGGCAAUUGUCAAUGCUGUAAAGUUACCCAUGCAUAUAACUUGUAAAUAAAAAGCUAUAGUUUAAAAAAAAAAAUGUAUGUGAUCAAAAUUUAUAGGGAUAUACUGUUGUUGUUUGGUCAUUUGUCCUGUUUAAUGUCCAUGACCCCAUUUGGAGUUUUCUUGACAAAGAUACUAGAGUGGCUUGCUAUUUCCUUCUCCAACUCAUUUUACAGAUGAAACUGGGGCAAAUUGGCUAAAGUGACCUGCCCAGGAUCACAGAUAAUAAAUUACAGAUAGUAAAUGUUUGGGGCUGGAUUUGAACUCAGAUUUUCCUGAUUCCAGGGCCAAUGCUCUAUCUGCUGCAUUACCUAGCUGCCCAGGGAGGGCAGGGAUGAGUAAUAUACUAGUAAAUGUUUAACAACUGGCUCUCAAAAAAUACCAUGACACACUUCAAAUUAAUCUGCAAUAUUAACAUUUUCUCUAAUUUCUUAAGUCUAGAAAUAAACAAAGCAAUAAAUCAAACCCUGAUUUAUAGUAUUUGCAGACUUCCAAAAAUGUAAAAGCUCAUGCAUCUAAAAUGAAAUGAUUGCUCCUCCCUAACCCAUAUGAGCAGGGCCCAACAUACUCCUGUUACCAUCUUUUAUCUUCUAAUUUUCAAAGGGGGGUGUUUUUCUUCUUUGGGGAUGAGAAGCAGUGUUUAAAUGCAG
Molecule: long non-coding RNA, 1112 nt
Filed under: Sarcophilus harrisii (Tasmanian devil)
Lineage: Eukaryota; Metazoa; Chordata; Mammalia; Dasyuromorphia; Dasyuridae
Description: lncRNA (ENSSHAG00000024765.1)
Source: RNAcentral